AUCCAGGUCACAAUGGUGGUGGGAGGAAGACGAGGAAGACGUGUUGGUCAAAGGAAUGGCAGGGGACAGGCACCCCUUCUGAGAGGUGGUCGUGGGCCUUGUUUGAGAGGUGUGGAGGAACGUGGUAGAGGACAAGGCCACGGACCAAGACAGCGGCAACAACAGCAUCGAGUGCCCAAUGAAAUUUGGGCAAUAGUCGUGGACCAUGUCAUGAAUCACGGCAUGACAAUGACUGAGGAGGUUACAGUGAUACAAUCAAACCUCAGAAGGUCAACCGUGGCCUCAAUACUCAGAACUUUCCGCAAUGAGAACCAAAUUGUGACCAGGCCAAAUAGUGGAGGCAGAGGUAAAAUUCUAACCAACAAGAGCAGGCUGUGGUGGAUUUGGUUGGGGCCAGAAAUGAUAUUCGCCUUACAGAAAUUCAUAUAAAACAACUGUACCGUGUGCCUUUCAAAAGAAAUGCAGACAGAGUGAAGCAAAUGAGGACUGACUAUGUUCAGAGGGUGAUGGAGCUGGAUGCUGAUGACGACCAUCACAAAUUCAUAUAUUUGGAUGAGGCAGGUUUUAAUCUGGCCAAGACAAAGAGGAGAGGUCGGAAUUUCAUUGGCCAGAGGGCAACCAUCCAAGUACCUGGACAACGUGGAGCCAAUAUUACCAUGUGUGCGGUUAUAUCAGAAGAUAGUGUGGUGGGACGCAGACCUCAUAUUGGACCAUAUAAUGCAGCUCUCCUUGUCACUUUUCUUGAUGAGCUCGAUCAGGUUUGUAGAGCUGAAGGUGUGACCUAUGUCAUUGUGUGGGACAAUGUCAGGUUCCAUCAUGCUCAUGUGGUGCAAGCAUGGUUUCAGGCCCAUGCACAAUUUACCACCCUGUAUUUACCCCCAUACUCUCCCUUCCUUAACCUGAUUUCAUAGCUAAUUAUUUUUGCUUUGAUUCAAAUAAACCUAUGUUGUGAUUG
Molecule: long non-coding RNA, 955 nt
Organism: Micropterus dolomieu (smallmouth bass)
Lineage: Eukaryota; Metazoa; Chordata; Actinopteri; Centrarchiformes; Centrarchidae
Exons: 3
Source: RefSeq, a predicted model, not a curated record